ACAAACUGAUGAGGAGUGUCUCAUGCGUGUUUAUUUUGUUGAAAAUUUUAAAUCACAGUUAUAUGUGGCAUCCUGUUCACCUGCCUGAGAUGCUGGAGCUGGUUAUGUGGCUUGGGGCCACUCCACUCUUGUUGUACCAUUUGGAGAAGUCGUGGCAACCACCGAACACGAGGAGGCUAUAAUCAUAGCAGAGAUUGAUUAUUCACUAAUUGAGCUCAGGAGGACAAACCUCCCAUUGUCAAAU
This is a long non-coding RNA of Alnus glutinosa, 244 nucleotides long. RefSeq lists it as uncharacterized. The transcript has 3 exons. Lineage: Eukaryota; Viridiplantae; Streptophyta; Magnoliopsida; Fagales; Betulaceae. The record is from RefSeq and is a predicted model, not a curated record.